Folsomia candida is the source of this 801-nucleotide long non-coding RNA. RefSeq lists it as uncharacterized. NCBI's taxonomy places the organism in Eukaryota, Metazoa, Arthropoda, Collembola, Entomobryomorpha, Isotomidae. The transcript is spliced from 3 exons. The record is from RefSeq and is a predicted model, not a curated record.
AUCGAAGAUUUUUUAACGCGCACAACAGCCAGGAAAUUCCAUCCCUUCGAUAUCCUCCCCUUCUUUUUAUUUCUCUGGCCGAGUCACGAAGUCCUGGUUGGAAAUAUUAAAUAUAUUAAUGUUAAAACUUCAUAAUAAUAUGAUGAAGUCGUUUAAAAAUUUUGUCAUACGAAGGGCGAAAAUCUCAAAAAUUUGGAAAUUUGAAGAUAUUUGUUUGGGACAAUGUCAACGUUAAAAAUGGUACUUGGAGGCGUACCGUAGAAUCGUAAAAUUAAAUGUCUGCAAAAUCAUGGGGGCCGCUACAACUUGUAAAUGUAGUCGAGUCUGUAACCAAAAUGGAAUCCUUAAUUAUAUUUAACUGUAAAAUAGAAUAUAAAUUUUGCAAAAAAAAUAAUUGGCUUACAACUCUAACGCUCUAAUAUUUGUUAGGUUACUUACAUUUAAGGCAUUUAUGGUGAAAGGCGACAAUCCUGGUGCGCCUGAAUAGAAAUACGGAAAGUAACCUAACUACUUACAUCUAGGAUAAAUAAGUAGUUAGCUUACGUGUAGUGGAACAUGGAAUUAAAUCAGAUUAUUUAAAUUUGUUAACCACCACCGUCACAAGCUGGAGGGUCUCUGUCCGAACUUGUCUGUAACUUGGUUGUUACUUGGCUUGAACAUAAUCCCCAUAAUUACAAAUGUAGUGUAUUUAUGGCCUAGGUUCAAUUCCAUGCAUGAAGAGAAAGACUGGAACACUAUUUCCAUGCUUUGUAGACGUAGUUUUACAGAUUUUUUUGUGGCUAAUAAAUAUUCCGACUUGAA